GCCAUUGAGAAGCUUGCUUUAUCAAAUAAAGUUUAUUAAAUUAUAAUUAUUGUUAGCAUAGCCUAGUUGUUCAGCAUCUCUUUUCUUCUUCCUUUAGGACAUGUUGAAGGAGUUUGAACUGAAUGUCUCACUGACCAAAUCAUGGUGUGGCAGUUUUGGUUUUACAAUAACCAGGAGUAAACUGGACAACUGCUUUUAUGUCCAGGAGAUCCUGGAUAAUCCAGCCAAAGCAGAUGGCAGACUUAGGGCUGGAGACAGGCUUGUCAUGGUACCACUUUUCCCACCAUUAGAAACACAAUCACAGUUAUGCUUUUAUGACCAUCCCUUUCUGAAGAUUUCAUAAGAUUGUGUUGUCAGUGAUUUGAAUUGGCAUUAUCUCCUUUUAGGUAAACGGUCACAAUGUGACCAGCGUGACAGAUGAUGUGGUUAUUAGCAUCCUCAGGUCUUCCUCUAAAAGACUGCACAUGGUGCUGGGCAGAGCUGUGCAAAAUCUACUCCCUCCGCCGCCUCCCGACAGACUCCAGGACAUUGUCAUCCCCAAGACUCCAUCCGGACAACUGGGUAUCAAGCUAACAGGGGGUAUUGGCAGCAAGUGGCAGGGAAUUUAUGUCCAGGAGGUGGUGCCAAGCUCCCCUGCUAGUGAAGAGGGCAGCAUCCAGCCCAAUGACAAGAUUGUUUAUAUAUGUGGGAAGUGCACCCUGGGAAUGAUGCUGGAGGAUGCUGUGAAAGUGUGUGAGAGUGCCCCACGCAAAGUCCGAUUAAAAGCCAUGAGGUUUGAAUGGAGAAUAAUUAUGUUUAAACAUGAAUUAGUAUCAGUUUUUGCCUUAAUAAGUUUUUAUUUAAUGUUUGCUUUGUUUCAGAGAUGACCAACCAGUGAUACCAGUAGAUAAAUGGAAUGGUACGUUUGAGCCGAGUCUACUUGAAUUACAGCAAUAAUUGGUUUAUUCAUAAUUUAUACAAAAUAUAAAGGUUGAUGUUUACUGUAAUAAGAUUGUGUGUUUGCUGAUAUUAUUGAUUCUUUUGAUUAUAUGGGGUUACAUGUAGACUUUAACCUUCCCUUGGGCCAG
This 1067-nucleotide long non-coding RNA is filed under the name Carassius auratus (goldfish). Its description in RNAcentral is "lncRNA (ENSCARG00000069260.1)". The record is from RNAcentral. Lineage: Eukaryota; Metazoa; Chordata; Actinopteri; Cypriniformes; Cyprinidae.